AGAGUUUGAUCCUGGCUCAGGAUGAACGCUGGCGGCGUGCCUAAUACAUGCAAGUGAAACGGGUAUCUUCGGAUACCAGUCGCGGACGGGUGAGUAAUACAUAGGCAACCUGCCUUUAUGAGGGGGAUAACCGAGGGAAACUUUGGCUAAUACCGCAUGAAGACUCUAAGGCAUCUUAGAGGGAUAAAAGUUGGGAAGCAACGCAUGAAGAUGGGCUUAUGGCGCAUUAGCUAGUUGGUGAGAUAGAAGCCCACCAAGGUAAUGAUGCGUAGCCGACCUGAGAGGGUGAACGGCCACAUUGGGACUGAGACACGGCCCAAACUCCUACGGGAGGCAGCAGUAGGGAAUUUUCGGCAAUGGGGGGAACCCUGACCGAGCAACGCCGCGUGAAGGAAGAAGGUUUUCGGAUUGUAAACUUCUGUUAUAAGGGAAGAACGGAUUGGAUAGGGAAUGAUCUGAUAGUGACGGUACCUUAUGAGAAAGCCACGGCUANNNACGUGCCAGCCGCCGCGGUAAUNC
RNAcentral lists this ribosomal RNA (519 nucleotides) under uncultured Bacillota bacterium. RNAcentral describes it as "bacterial SSU rRNA". It matches the Rfam family "Bacterial small subunit ribosomal RNA", at positions 8 to 526 of the family's 1533-position model. Lineage: Bacteria; Bacillati; Bacillota. The record is from RNAcentral.